UAUUUUUGGUGUUCAGUCUACCGCUCAUGUUCACGUUACAAGGCAACUAGCAUUUUGUCAUGGAAGUUCGUGAAAGAAUGUUCUUGUUUUUCGUUGGAAAAACCAACGCCAAAAAAACAAAAGUCUCCCUUUCUUUUUUCGGAAGCAGAGCUUAAAUUUAACCAACAGCUUACCAAGGCGAUGAUCGUAGCUGGUCCGAGAGGAUGAUCAGCCACACUGGGACUGAGACACGGCCCAGACUCCUACGGGAGGCAGCAGUGGGGAAUUUUCCGCAAUGGGCGAAAGCCUGACGGAGCAAUGCCGCGUGGAGGUGGAAGGCCUACGGGUCGUCAACUUCUUUUCUCGAAGAAGAAACAAUGACGGUAUCUGAGGAAUAAGCAUCGGCUAACUCUGUGCCAGCAGCCGCGGUAAGAGAGAGGAUGCAAGCGUUAUCCGGAAUGAUUGGGCGUAAAACGUCUGUAGGUGGCUUUUCAAGUCCGCCGUCAAAUCCCAGGGCUCAACCCUGGACAGGCGGUGGAAACUACCAGCUCGGUCUUAGCUUUUCCUGUUCACGACUCCGAUCUUCUUUCAUCCGCAGUUCUUGCUAAUGUCUUCACUU
This 598-nucleotide non-coding RNA is filed under the name Brachypodium distachyon (stiff brome). RNAcentral describes it as "Bacterial small subunit ribosomal RNA". It matches the Rfam family "Bacterial small subunit ribosomal RNA", at positions 113 to 748 of the family's 1533-position model. The record is from Rfam by way of RNAcentral. Lineage: Eukaryota; Viridiplantae; Streptophyta; Magnoliopsida; Poales; Poaceae.